Molecule: ribosomal RNA, 679 nt
Filed under: Staphylococcus saprophyticus
Lineage: Bacteria; Bacillati; Bacillota; Bacilli; Caryophanales; Staphylococcaceae
Description: bacterial SSU rRNA
Rfam family: Bacterial small subunit ribosomal RNA
Source: RNAcentral
AAUGGACAAGUUCGAAGCGAACAGAUAAGGGAGCUUGCUCCUUUGACGUUAGCGGCGGACGGGUGAGUAACACGUGGGUAACCUACCUAUAAGACUGGGAUAACUUCGGGAAACCGGAGCUAAUACCGGAUAACAUUUGGAACCGCAUGGUUCUAAAGUGAAAGAUGGUUUUGCUAUCACUUAUAGAUGGACCCGCGCCGUAUUAGCUAGUUGGUAAGGUAACGGCUUACCAAGGCGACGAUACGUAGCCGACCUGAGAGGGUGAUCGGCCACACUGGAACUGAGACACGGUCCAGACUCCUACGGGAGGCAGCAGUAGGGAAUCUUCCGCAAUGGGCGAAAGCCUGACGGAGCAACGCCGCGUGAGUGAUGAAGGGUUUCGGCUCGUAAAACUCUGUUAUUAGGGAAGAACAAAUGUGUAAGUAACUGUGCACGUCUUGACGGUACCUAAUCAGAAAGCCACGGCUAACUACGUGCCAGCAGCCGCGGUAAUACGUAUGUGGCAAGCGUUAUCCGGAAUUAUUGGGCGUAAAGCGCGCGUAGGCGGUUUCUUAAGUCUGAUGUGAAAGCCCACGGCUCAACCGUGGAGGGUCAUUGUAAACUGGGAGACUUGAGUGCACAAAAGAAGAGUGGAAUUCCAUGUGUAUCGAUGAAAUGCGCAUAGAUAUGGGGGAAACAC